UACGUAGGUGGCUAGCGUUGUCCGGAUUUACUGGGCGUAAAGGGAGCGUAGGCGGACUUUUAAGUGAGAUGUGAAAUACCCGGGCUCAACUUGGGUGCUGCAUUUCAAACUGGAAGUCUAGAGUGCAGGAGAGGGGAAUGGAAUUCCUAGUGUAGCGGUGAAAUGCGUAGAGAUUAGGAAGAACACCAGUGGCGAAGGCGAUUCUCUGGACUGUAACUGACGCUGAGGCUCGAAAGCGUGGGGAGCAAACAGGAUUAGAUACCCUGGUA
This 269-nucleotide ribosomal RNA is filed under the name uncultured prokaryote. Its description in RNAcentral is "partial 16S ribosomal RNA". It matches the Rfam family "Bacterial small subunit ribosomal RNA", at positions 524 to 792 of the family's 1533-position model. The record is from RNAcentral.